Molecule: ribosomal RNA, 460 nt
Filed under: uncultured bacterium
Lineage: Bacteria
Description: partial 16S ribosomal RNA
Rfam family: Bacterial small subunit ribosomal RNA
Source: RNAcentral
CCUACGGGAGGCAGCAGUGAGGAAUAUUGGUCAAUGGACGAGAGUCUGAACCAGCCAAGUAGCGUGAAGGAUGACUGCCCUAUGGGUUGUAAGCUUCUUUUAUAUGGGAAUAAAAUGUUCCACGUGUGGGAUUUUGUAUGUACCAUAUGAAUAAGGAUCGGCUAACUCCGUGCCAGCAGCCGCGGUAAUACGGAGGAUCCGAGCGUUAUCCGGAUUUAUUGGGUUUAAAGGGAGCGUAGGUGGAUGGUUAAGUCAGUUGUGAAAGUUUGCGGCUCAUCCGUAAAAUUGCAGUUGAUACUGGCAGUCUUGAGUACAGUAGAGGGGGGUGGAAUUCGUGGUGUAGCGGUGAAAUGCUUAGAGAUCACGAAGAACUCCGAUGGCGAAGGCAGCUCACUGGACUGAAACUGACACUGAGGCGCGAAAGUGUGGGUAGCAAACAGGAUUAGAUACCCCAGUAGUC